GGAUGGGGUUAGACAGACAGAGGCAGUGGACGGGGAUAGACAGACAGACAGAGGCAGUGGACGGGGAUGGAUGGAGUGCAAGGGGUUUGAGGGCUGGAUAGACAGACAGACAGAGGGGUGGACGGGGGCUGGAUAGACAGACAGACAGAGAGGGGUGGACGGGGUUAGACAGACAGAGGCAGUGGACGGGGAUGGAUGGAGUGCAAGGGGUUUGAGGGCUGGAUAGACAGACAGACAGAGAGGGUGGACGGGGAUGGAUGGAGUGCAAGGGGUUUGAGGGCUGGAUAGACAGACAGACAGAGAGGGGUGGACGGGGUUAGACAGACAGAGGCAGUGGACGGGGACAGACAGACAGACAGAGAGGGGUGCACGGGGUUAGACAGACAGAGGCAGUGGACGGGGAUGGAUGGAGUGCAAGGGGUUUGAGGGCUGGAUAGACAGACAGACAGAGAGGGGUGGACGGGGUUAGACAGACAGAGGCAGUGGACGGGGAUGGAUGGAGUGCAAGGGGUUUGAGGGCUGGAUAGACAGACAGACAGAGAGGGGUGGACGGGGUUAGACAGACAGAGGCAGUGGACGGGGAUGGAUGGAGUGCAAGGGGUUUGAGGGCUGGAGGAAACAGAGAAGAUCUUUUGCUGAACGUGUAGAAGAAAGAAAGAACCAAACUCCUCCCUUUGAGCUCCCAAGAAGUGUGGGACUCAGCAGCCAGCGCCUCCCUUGAGAGUUUGCCUCUUCCCCAACCCCAUAAUCAGGGGCUUUGCCCAGCAGCUGAAGCCAAGGCCGGGCUCUGGGCUGGGCGCCCGCUGGCCCCCUGGCAUGUACUUUGCCUGGGUGGGGCUGCAGCUGGCUCUGAGCUGGGGCAGGGGACGGAAGGGGGGAAGGAGAAGAGGAGAACGGGGAAAUGGAGCAGGGAGGAGGAGGAGGAGGAGGAGGAGAGGAAAAGGGGGAAUGGAGCAGGGAGAAGGAGGAGGAGAGGAAAAGGGGGAAUGGAGCAGGGAGAA
Molecule: long non-coding RNA, 1001 nt
Organism: Gopherus flavomarginatus (Mexican gopher tortoise)
Lineage: Eukaryota; Metazoa; Chordata; Testudines; Testudinidae
Exons: 3
Source: RefSeq, a predicted model, not a curated record